GGUUAAGCUGGACUGCUGCGGCUACCGUGGAUGCCCGCAGUCAGAGGCGAUGAAGGACGCUAAUCUGCGAUAAGCGUCGGUGGCAGAUAUGAACCGUUAUAACCGGCGAUUCGAAUGGGGAAACCCAGUGCUCUUUGACACUAUCAUUAAUCAAAUCCAUAGGCUAAUGAGGCGAACCAGAACUGGAAACAUCUAGUACCCCGAGGAAAAGAAAUCAACCGAGAUUCCCAGUAGCGGCGAGCGAACGGAGCAGCCCAGAGCCUCCGAAUCAGUAUUACGCGUGUGUUAGUGGAAGGUCUGAAAGGCGGCGCGAUGCUAGGCGACAGCCCCGUACAAAAAUGCACAUAUUGUGAGUCCGUGAUGAGCAGGCGGGCCACGCGGUAUCCUGUCUGAAUGGGGACCAUCCCACAAAUACCUGACUGACCGAUAGUGAACCAGUACCGUGAGGGAAAGGCGAAAAAGAACCCCAUGUGAGGGAGUGAAAAAGAACCCGAAACCGUGUACAAGCAGUGGGAGCACGCCAGUGGACUGCGUACCUUUGUAUAACGGGUCAUGACUAUAUAUCUGCAGCAAGGUUAACUGAAUAGGAGCUGAAGGGAAACUGAGUCUCAACGGCGCGCAGUUGCAGGGUAUAGACCCGAAACCCGCGAUUCAGCCAUGGGUGGUUGAAGGUUGGUAACAUCUAACUGGAGGACCGAACCGACUAAUGUUGAAAACGGUGACAAUUUGGUGGCUGUGGGGUGAAAGGCCAAUCAAACUGGGAGAUAGUUGGUUCUCCCCGAAAGUUAUUUAGGUAUGCCUUCGUGAAUUCAUCAUCCUCCGGGUAGAGCACUGCUCGCUAAGUAUCCUGACUUACCAAAUCCUGCUACGCAAACUAUACUGGAGAAUGUUAUCACGGGAGUAUUGGCCACGGCGGUGCGCAUCGUCCGUCGUGAAGAGGGAAACAACCCAGACCGCCAGCUAAGGUCCCAAAGCCUGGUUGUUUUUCGCUAUGGAAACGAUGGGAAGGCCCAGACAGCCGUGAUGUUGGCUUGUAGCCAGCCAUCAUUUAAAGAAAGCGUAAUAGCUCAAUUGGUCGAGUCGGUCUGCGCGGAAGAUGUAACGAAGUAAACCAUGCACCGAAGCUGCGGCAGCGACGCAGGUAUGGUUGGGUAGGGGAGCGUUCUGUAAGCCCGCGUGAAGGUGCGCUGUGAGGUAUGCUGGAGGUAUCAGAAGUGCGAAUAGUUGACAUAAGUAACGAUAAAGGGCGAAAAGUCUGCCUGCCGGAAGACCAAGUGGUUCCCUAUCCAACGUUAAUCGGUGAGCUGUGACUUCUGGCGAGGCUGGCCGGCGCAGUCGAUGGGAAACAGGUUAAUAUUCCCGUACUUGGUGUUACCGCGAAGUUGGGGACGGAAGGCUAUGUUGGCUGGCGACGGCUGUCCUGGUUUAAGCGUGUAGGCUUGGUUUUCCGGUAAACUGGAAAUCAUCAAGGCUGAGUAUGCGGAUGACGAGGCACUACGGUGCUGAAGCAACAAAAUGCCCGCUUCCGUGAAAGCCCUCUCUAAGCACUGUAGGGUAACAUCAAAUCGUACCCAAACCGGACACAGGUGGCUUCGUAGAGAAUACCAAGGCGCUAUUUGAGAGAACUCGGUGAAGGAAUCCAGGCAAAAUGGCGCCAAAAUCCCCGGAGAAGGUACGCUGAUAUGUAGGUGAAGUCCGCGGAUGGUUGAAAUCAUCAAGAUACCAGCUGGCUGCAACUGUUUAUUAAAAACACAGCACCUGUGCAAACACGAAAGUGGACGUAUACGGUGUGACGCCCGGUGCCGGGUUGCUAAUUGAUUGAUUUAAGCUAGCCGCAAGGCGAAGCCUUUGAUCGAAGCCCCGGUAAACGUUACCGUAACUAUAACGGUAUCCCAUAGAAGGAAAUCUCUUGUCGGGUAGUCUUGACCCGUACGAAUGGCGCGUAAUGAUGGCCGUGCUGUUCCACCUGAGACUCCAGUGAAAUUGAACUCGCUGUGAAGAUGAAAAAUUCCGCGGUAAGACGGAAAAGACCUCCUGAACCUUUACUAUAGCUUGACACCGGAAAUAUCAUUGAGCCUGAUGUGUAGGAUAGGUGGAGGCUUAGAAGUGUGGACGCCAGUCUGCAUGGAGCCGACCUUGAAAUACCACCCUUUAAUGUUUGAUGUUCUAACGUUGACCCGUAAUCCGAGUUGCGGACAGUGUCUGGUGGGUAGUUUGAUCAGCGGUCUCCCAAAGAUAACGGAGGAGCACGAAGGUUGGCUAACUCUCGGUCGGACAUCAAUGGUGGCGGUUAGUGCAAUGGCAUAAGCCAGCUUGACUGCGAGCGUGACGGCGCGAGCAGGUGCGAAAGCAGGUCAUAGUGAUCCGGUGGUUCUUCGGAAUGGAAGGGCCAUCGCUCAACGGAUAAAAGGUACUCCGGGGAUAACAGGCUGAUACUCGCCUAAGAGUUCAUAUAUAUCGACGGCGGCGGUGUUUGGCACCUCGAUGCUGGUCACAUCCUGGGGCUGGCGAUCCCAAGGGUACAGCCGUUUGCCAUUUGGAAGUGGUACGCGAGCUAAGUCGAAACGUCGUGACAGUUUGGUCCCUAUCUGCCGUGGGCGCUGGAGAACUGAGGGGCUGCCCUGUUAGUGACCGGAGUGGACGCAUCACUCGGUGUUCGCUGUCGCCAAUGGUAACUGGUUCGGUGAAGCAAAUGCGGAAGAGAUAAGUGCUGAAAGCAUCUAAGCACGAAACUUGCCCUGAGAUGAGUUCUCCUGACUCCUUUGAGAGUCCCAAGGAACGUUGAAGACGACGACGUUGAUAGGCCGGGUGUGUAAGCGCAGCGAUGCGUUGAGCUAACCGGUACUAAUGAACCGUGAGGCUUAACCUUACAACGCCGAAGGUGUUU
RNAcentral lists this ribosomal RNA (2887 nucleotides) under Escherichia coli. Its description in RNAcentral is "23S ribosomal RNA". It matches the Rfam family "Bacterial large subunit ribosomal RNA". The record is from RNAcentral. Lineage: Bacteria; Pseudomonadati; Pseudomonadota; Gammaproteobacteria; Enterobacterales; Enterobacteriaceae.